RNAcentral lists this transfer RNA (71 nucleotides) under Bos taurus (domestic cattle). It matches the Rfam family "tRNA". Rfam says of the family: Transfer RNA (tRNA) molecules are approximately 80 nucleotides in length. Their secondary structure includes four short double-helical elements and three loops (D, anti-codon, and T loops). Further hydrogen bonds mediate the characteristic L-shaped molecular structure. tRNAs have two regions of fundamental functional importance: the anti-codon, which is responsible for specific mRNA codon recognition, and the 3' end, to which the tRNAs corresponding amino acid is attached (by aminoacyl-tRNA synthetases). tRNAs cope with the degeneracy of the genetic code in two manners: having more than one tRNA (with a specific anti-codon) for a particular amino acid; and 'wobble' base-pairing, i.e. permitting non-standard base-pairing at the 3rd anti-codon position. The record is from Rfam by way of RNAcentral. RNAcentral also lists the same sequence under 2 other names. Lineage: Eukaryota; Metazoa; Chordata; Mammalia; Artiodactyla; Bovidae.
UCCCAGGUGGCUCAGUGGUAAAGAAUCUGCCUGCCAAGCAGGAGACACAGGUUCGAUCCCUGGGUCGGGAA